Long non-coding RNA from Oncorhynchus tshawytscha (Chinook salmon), 435 nucleotides. The record is from Ensembl. NCBI's taxonomy places the organism in Eukaryota, Metazoa, Chordata, Actinopteri, Salmoniformes, Salmonidae.
GAGGUUAUCAUGUUAGAUGGUGGUUAGUUUCAGGAGGUUAUCAUGUUAGAUAGUGGUUAGUUUCAGGAGGUUAUCAUGUUAGAUGGUGGUUAGUUUCAGGAGGUUAUCUUGUUAGAUGGUGGUUAGUUUCAGGAGGUUAUCAUGUUAGGUGGUGGUUAGUUUCAGGAGGUUAUCAUGUUAGAUAGUGGUUAGUUUCAGGAGGUUAUCAUGUUAGAUGGUGGUUAGUUUCAGGAGGUUAUCAUAUUAGAUGGUGGUUAGUUUCAGGAGGUUAUCAUGUUAGAUAGUGGUUAGUUUCAGGAGGUUAUCAUGUUAGAUGGUGGGGUGGUUAGUUUCAGGAGGUUAGAUGGUGGGGUGGUUCUAAGUAGGGAUUGAUGGAAGUGUUGGUUACUGCUACACAGUUUUUGUGCUGAUGAAGAGGUCCCAUGUGACGCUCUG